UGUGCAUCACGACAACUGAAUAAUGAGUUAAGUUCACUCACACUUACGGAAACACCGUUGCAUUUGGUCAGUCAGCUUUGCUACGAGCCAUCAGUUUAUGGAAUUCUCUUCCUCGGGGCACUGCCACGCAAACGGAUAGAGAUAAAUUUGGGCAACUCCAGAUUAUGCAACUUCUGCCAUAAAAAAGUGUCAGACUUCUUGCCAUGUUCUGUAUAGCUGUGUAACGUCAGGCAGGUUUUCUUCCUCUUUCACGCCUUAAUGUGCACUUCUUUAUCAUGUGCGCGAGCAAUUGUGCGUAAUAAUAUAUAUCAGUUGUUUUGUACGCUACCACUAAAAUUAAUUUCCGUUUAUCUCAAAAUUGUUAGUAUUGUUUCUUUUUCUGUUUUUCAUGUUUUGAACUACAUAUUUUUUAUGCGAUGUUUCAUUAUGUGCGUGAUAAAAUUUUUUCGAUGUUUGCUUACUACCGCAGCUCUGCAUAUGUAACCCAUUUUGUAGUGAUUAUUUACUUCUACUCAUCCUUGGGGUGUUCUUGUUUGCAAUUUUCUUACUUUGAUGACCCCCUUACUUAAUGCACCUUAUGGACCAUAAAGUACCUUAAAAAAACA
Molecule: long non-coding RNA, 605 nt
Filed under: Dermacentor andersoni
Lineage: Eukaryota; Metazoa; Arthropoda; Arachnida; Ixodida; Ixodidae
Description: uncharacterized LOC126516280
Source: RNAcentral